Molecule: long non-coding RNA, 213 nt
Filed under: Musa acuminata (dwarf banana)
Lineage: Eukaryota; Viridiplantae; Streptophyta; Magnoliopsida; Zingiberales; Musaceae
Description: long non-coding RNA (MACU_LNC000828)
Source: RNAcentral
UCAAAUCAAGCUAGAGAUUGGUCGGAACGAUAACUUCUGGAUACAUUUAUUGAAGGUCUUAUUCCAGAGAUUCGGUGUGAAGUUAAGGCUCGUCAACCCCGCACUAUGAUAGCUGUGAUCUCAUUCGCACAUAUACAUGAGAAAAAAAUCAACAGGGAAAAUCAUGGAAACAGAAGUGACAACAACCAGAUGAUUAGUAAGCCACUGGCCCCA